CACCAGACUCCUACGGGAGGCAGCAGUGGGGGAUAUUGCACAAUGGGGGGAACCCUGAUGCAGCGACGCCGCGUGGGUGAAGGAGCGUUUCGGCGCGUAAAGCCCUAUCGGCAGGGAAGAAGGAGGACGGUACCUGACUAAGAAGCCCCGGCUAACUACGUGCCAGCAGCCGCGGGAAUACGUAGGGGGCAAGCGUUAUCCGGAUUUACUGGGUGUAAAGGGGGCGCAGACGGCAGCGCAAGCCAGGAGUGAAAGCCCGGGGCCCAACCCCGGGACUGCUCUUGGAACUGCGCGGCUGGAGUGCAGGAGGGGCAGGCGGAAUUCCUGGUGUAGCGGUGAAAUGCGUAGAUAUUAGGAGGAACACCAGUGGCGAAGGCGACUUUCUGGACUGUACCUGACGCUGAGGCGCGAAAGCGUGGGUAGCGAACGGGAUUAGAUACCCUCGUA
Molecule: ribosomal RNA, 447 nt
Filed under: uncultured bacterium
Lineage: Bacteria
Description: partial 16S ribosomal RNA
Rfam family: Bacterial small subunit ribosomal RNA
Source: RNAcentral